GGGCCGGUAGCUCAGGUGGUUAGAGCGCACGCCUGAUAAGCGUGAGGUCGGUGGUUCAACUCCACCUCGGCCCACCA
This 77-nucleotide transfer RNA is filed under the name Govanella unica. RNAcentral's name for it is "tRNA-Ile". It matches the Rfam family "tRNA". From Rfam's summary of the family: Transfer RNA (tRNA) molecules are approximately 80 nucleotides in length. Lineage: Bacteria; Pseudomonadati; Pseudomonadota; Alphaproteobacteria; Emcibacterales; Govanellaceae. The record is from RNAcentral.